This 253-nucleotide ribosomal RNA is filed under the name uncultured bacterium. Its description in RNAcentral is "partial 16S ribosomal RNA". It matches the Rfam family "Bacterial small subunit ribosomal RNA", at positions 524 to 776 of the family's 1533-position model. The record is from RNAcentral.
UACGGAGGAUGCAAGCGUUAUCCGGAUUCAUUGGGUUUAAAGGGUGCGUAGGCGGCUUUUUAAGUCAGUGGUGAAAUCCUGCCGCUUAACGGUAGAAUUGCCAUUGAUACUGAUAAGCUUGAGUACAAUUGAGGUAAGCGGAAUGUGUAGUGUAGCGGUGAAAUGCUUAGAUAUUACACAGAACACCGAUUGCGAAGGCAGCUUACUAAACUGUUACUGACGCUGAUGCACGAAAGCGUGGGGAGCGAACAGG